GUUAGUGAGUAGUCGCGCCAUAAUUUUCAUUAUGGUGAGGAAAGUCCACGCUCGCCUAAGCUGCGAUGCUUAGAGUUUGGAUGCCUAGCCAAUCAAUAAGCUAGGGCAGUAUGAAUAUACUGACGGCGAUGAAAAGGACUCUCUGAGUUCUGAUUAGUCUUAAAGUGCCACAGAGACGAGUCUUUCCAGCGAUGGGAAGAGUGGAACGAGGUAAACCCCAUCUGCGAGAAACCCAAAUUAUGGUAGGGGAAUUGCCUGAGGGGAAAUGAACCCAAGGGUGGAUCGUCGUAUGACGAUAGAUAGAUGACUACUAAUUCUGUGUGAGGCUGGUUGCCGUUUGCAACACGGAAUUACAGAACGUGGCUUAUAGCG
Molecule: RNase P RNA, 372 nt
Filed under: Fodinisporobacter ferrooxydans
Lineage: Bacteria; Bacillati; Bacillota; Bacilli; Caryophanales; Alicyclobacillaceae
Description: Alicyclobacillaceae bacterium MYW30-H2 RNase P RNA component class B
Rfam family: Bacterial RNase P class B
About the family: Ribonuclease P (RNase P) is a ubiquitous endoribonuclease, found in archaea, bacteria and eukarya as well as chloroplasts and mitochondria. Its best characterised activity is the generation of mature 5'-ends of tRNAs by cleaving the 5'-leader elements of precursor-tRNAs.
Source: RNAcentral